ACUUGAUUGUCCCCAAUGCUCACCCGAGCGGAUAAAUUAAAGUCGGCAAAUUGAUUGUCAAAUCAGCUCCACCGAACGGUAGCACUACUCAAUGGAUACAGUUUGGCAGAAUGCUCUCUGGCAGUAUGAAUAAACAGAGCAAGCAGAGAAGGUGAAGAUAGUUCUCAUUAAAUUUUCAUCAACCCAGUGAUCAACCUGUUGAAUUGAAAUCACGUUAGCGUGAUAAGUUUUUGACUGUUGGAGGAAGUGAUCCAUGAAUAGGUGUAUCAAGUGGUAACUGUAAUGGUGUGCCGUAAACACACACGGGAAACAUGUGCAACAGUGAUACCUUUGGCAAAUCGACACAAGCUGAACUCAACAGUUGGCAACGACAGUUUUUCAGCGAUUCGUGAACGUAUUUCCCUGUCAACUUAGCUCUGGACGGCUCAACAGUGGUACUGCACGUGCAUCGGCAGAAGAGUGUACAAAUUACUAGGGAAUCUUCUAGCAACAGCAGAUGACCUUAUUCGUGAGGAAAACCGAACUAUAGCUACCAGUAACCAACGAAAUUGCACGAAAAAACUACGGUUUAACCAGCUCUGAGGGUAAUUUCAUCGGAACCAUUUCAAGACCGAUUCCCCGGCAGGUGAGCGCUACCUCUUCGGACGAUCCCACACACUGGCACCCCAUGGCCUGCCAGGGUUUACAAAUUUCUUUCAGCGUCCGGCCAACGAUGCCAUACUGCUGAAGAGCCUUCUCGUACAUCUCCUUGGCCUCUUUUUCCGGAUCCGACGAGGGCAUCAGCAAACUUUCCUUCAGCAUCAUUUUUGUCUGGCUGGUGGUUUGCAGUGUCGGUCUCAGCCCGUGCACAUUCCGGACGCAACAGUGGAAAAAUAGUAACACUAACAACACCAGGACCACGUGGCCCUUCAUCGUUGAGUGGUUGAUAAACCGUACCACCAUAGCACCAAUCACUGAACACACACACGGACUUAUCGGACAAAUUAUUUCCUCUCGUCGACGGAAAAUAAAUCACUUGUUGUAAAUGUACACUAAACGGCAACGACGGUAACCUCCGUAAGUACCACUGCCACUACUGACGGGAAGCAGAAAUAAAAGGUGCCGAAAUGAUGUUUUCAUAUUGUUCUUAUUGCAACUUGUUGCUUUCGGCGUAAAGAUUUACUGUAGUUUAAGCGUCGAAUGUUUUGCGCGGAACACCUCCGCUACUCAGUGGGUCACACGCGGCGCAACUAUUCGCAGCUUUUUUACGACGCAAACAGAGCACACUAAACACGCAAACAGCGGCCACACAGUCAGUGGCACGAUGUCCCUCAAUCCGUGA
Molecule: long non-coding RNA, 1321 nt
Organism: Toxorhynchites rutilus septentrionalis
Lineage: Eukaryota; Metazoa; Arthropoda; Insecta; Diptera; Culicidae
Exons: 3
Source: RefSeq, a predicted model, not a curated record